RNAcentral lists this ribosomal RNA (533 nucleotides) under Tuber indicum. Its description in RNAcentral is "partial large subunit ribosomal RNA". It matches the Rfam family "Eukaryotic large subunit ribosomal RNA", at positions 109 to 658 of the family's 3401-position model. Lineage: Eukaryota; Fungi; Ascomycota; Pezizomycetes; Pezizales; Tuberaceae. The record is from RNAcentral.
UCAAAUUUGAAAUCUGGCAUCUUUGGUGUCCGAAUUGUAAUUUGGAGAGGCAACUUCAGGUAGGACCCAGUCUAUGUUCCUUGGAACAGGACGUCAUAGAGGGUGAGAAUCCCGUUCUUGACUGGAUGUUCUUGCUAGUAUGUAGUGCCUUCUACGAGUCGAGUUGUUUGGGAAUGCAGCUCAAAAUGGGUGGUAAAUUUCAUCUAAAGCUAAAUAUUGGCGAGAGACCGAUAGCGCACAAGUAGAGUGAUCGAAAGAUGAAAAGCACUUUGAAAAUAGAGUCAAAAAGUACGUGAAAUUGUUGAAAGGGAAGCGCUUGAGACCAGACUCAGCCUUUGGCAAACAAGUGUCCUUCUGGGCAGUGCACUUGCCUCAGGUUGGGCCAGUAUCAGUUAGGAUGGUAGGAGAAAGGCUAGGGGAAUGUGACUCCGAUCUGGAGUGUUAUAGACCCUGGCGUCAUGCUACCUGUCCUGACUGUGGACCGCGCGUUAGCUAGGAUACUGGCGUAAUGGUCUUCAGCGGCCCGUCUUGAC